Molecule: ribosomal RNA, 180 nt
Filed under: Pseudopedinella elastica
Lineage: Eukaryota; Dictyochophyceae; Pedinellales
Description: partial Eukaryotic large subunit ribosomal RNA
Source: RNAcentral
GUGGGAAAGUUUACUCAGUAAAACCCAAAGGCGCAAUUAACAUGACUGUUAUGGGAUUACAUGGGGCUCAGCCAAAAGCAUAUAGCCCCAUCUCCAUCCCGGGGCGAUUCAUCAGGUAACUUCGGUUAUCGAGUCGUACCUUGAGCACAUAUGGUAGGACCCGAAAGAUGGUGAACUAUG